GCCGAACGCUGGCGGCGUGCUUAACACAUGCAAGUCGAACGAAGUGGCGAACGGGUGAGUAACGCGUAAUCAACCUGCCCUUCAGGGGGGGACAACAGUUGGAAACGACUGCUAAUCCCGCAUACUGAAGGAGGGGUAUGCGUCUGAUUAGCUCGUUGGAGGGGUAACGGCCCACCAAGGCGAUGAUCAGUAGCCGGUCUGGGAGGAUGAACGGCCACAAUGGGACUGGGACACGGCCCAGACUCCUACGGGAGGCAGCAGUGGGGAAUCUUCGGCAAUUGAGGAAAGUCUGACGGAGCAACGCCGCGUGAGUGAUGACGGCCUUCGGGUUGUAAAGCUCUGUUAAUCGGGACGCGGUACCGGAAUAGAAAGCCACGGCUAACUACGUGCCAGCAGCCGCGGUAAUUC
RNAcentral lists this ribosomal RNA (408 nucleotides) under uncultured bacterium. Its description in RNAcentral is "partial 16S ribosomal RNA". It matches the Rfam family "Bacterial small subunit ribosomal RNA", at positions 28 to 526 of the family's 1533-position model. The record is from RNAcentral.